CGUGGUGACGCGGAAUCUGAAGGAAGCGGGCGGCAAACUUUAAGGUCUCUCGGAACACGAACUUCAUAGGAGGCUAGGUAUCACUGGGUGAGUUUGCACAACAAAACAAAGCCCUUUCUGCCGAAGGUGAUACAGAGUAAAUGAAGCAGAUGGAUGGAAGGAAAGAUU
Molecule: non-coding RNA, 168 nt
Filed under: Bacillus smithii
Lineage: Bacteria; Bacillati; Bacillota; Bacilli; Caryophanales; Bacillaceae
Source: RNAcentral